AGAGAGAGAGGGAUGGAGAAGGGGGGGGAGUCAGAGACUGUGUUUUUAGAUGAAGGAGAACAGACUUCAAACUGCUGAACAUUACAUCUCUAAACAGUGUUGAGUUGGGUCUCCAUGGUGAUGGAUGGGUUCUUCUCAGAGACGUCAGGUUCAGGGUUAUGAUUAGAGCCUCUAGCCCAGAGGCGCUCACUUAUCAUCAGGCAGUGAGGUGACAAAGAAGGGCUGAGUAGCUCCAGGGGUCAGUAGUGAGGGUCAGGGUCGCCAGGGGUGAGGGUCAGGGUCGCCAGGGGGGAGGGUCAGGGUCUCCAGGGGUGAGGGUCAGGGUCUCCAGGGGUGAGGGUCAGGGUCUCCAGGGGUGAGGGUCAGGGUCUCCAGGGGUGAGGGUCAGGGGUCAGGGUCUCCAGGGGUGAGGGUCAGGCGUCAGGGUCUCCAGGGGUGAGGGUCAGGGGUCAGGGUCUCCAGGGGUGAGGGUUAGCGUCGCCAGGGGUGAGGGUCAGGGGUCAGGGUCU
Long non-coding RNA from Oncorhynchus tshawytscha (Chinook salmon), 509 nucleotides. Lineage: Eukaryota; Metazoa; Chordata; Actinopteri; Salmoniformes; Salmonidae. The record is from Ensembl.